Molecule: long non-coding RNA, 2117 nt
Organism: Pyrus x bretschneideri (Chinese white pear)
Lineage: Eukaryota; Viridiplantae; Streptophyta; Magnoliopsida; Rosales; Rosaceae
Exons: 2
Source: RefSeq, a predicted model, not a curated record
UCAGUCAAAAUAAGAUGACUCGAACAAUUAAUUUCCGAUUUUGCCUCUAACGGCAAGUCUCUUGUCUGUCCAAUAUCUCUUCCUGAUCUCUCUGCAAUACUGUGUCUCCCUCUCUCUCCAUGACACAACGACAACGAUCUCCACCACCACUGCUACCUCAGACCCACCCCGACCCCGACCAACGAAAAGCUUGGCUCCACUGACCUUAAUUCAAUCUUCCAGUCUUUGGUGUCUUGCUGUUUCAUUUGAGCCCAUGCCACUCAUUUUCGUCUGAAUCUGCGAGAGAGGAAGAAGAACCGCGUCUGAAUCCUCCUCUUCCGUGCUCUGUCGCCCCAACCGUCACCACCUUCGCCGUCUCACCCGCUCUCAAUCAUCAUCAGGUACUACUCUCACUCAUUUCCUCAUUGUCUCCGUCCAUUGACGUCGAGCAGAACUGCAUCAGCGUCUACAACAACGUCGCUGGAGUUCCUGUCGAGAUUCACCAGGAGGAGAGGGUCUAUGUACAUCUCCUGGCUAGUAGCAAUUACUAUGAUACGGUGAAGAAGACCACCGGUGGACGCAACGGCUACGGCCCCAAGGGUACGAACAUCUUCUCCACCGAGUUCGUCAUCGAGACGACGGACGUGAUUUAUUGAGGAUUACUAUGACUAAUUUUUCUAUGGGGUUGAAAUGGAUUUCCGAAUUCCGAUUGACCAAAUAUUGCAGCAGGAUGUAUACAUGUAUCUACCUAUAUGGGUUUGAAAUGGAUUUCCAAUCGAUGAGAGUUGAUGUAUACAUGUACUCUACCUAUAAAAUUCACAUUCUUUCCCAAAUGCUCUUCAGUUCACAACAUUCACUAGCAUGCUUGUGUAAGUUUUUAUAAAAUGAUUGCAGUGAUGAUAGUUUAGAAUGGUUACUUGGAUAAUUUUUUUGAAAAUUUCUGUUGUGAUAUUUUUGUAGUCUGUUGUUUAAUGAAAUCUGCAUAGUUUGUCCAGUUGGGUUUUGUGUACAGACAAACCGAUGAAUGCUCAAAACUGUAGGAUAAAUCUUAGAAGAACAACUUGAAACGGGUCAACAAACUCGUGUAAAAAGUUUGCCUAUGGGAAGUCCCGAAGACUCACAAGUUUUUUCGCGUGCUUGACUCUAGUUCAUAUAAGUUUCUCCUCGAUAGUUAAUGGUUGUCAUUUGUAUGAUAUUUUCCUCACUUUUCAUAGGUGAAAGUGGAAGAUGCAUCUCUUCUUGCAUUAGAACACGAAGGCCGUCGAGCAUCGCUAGCAGAACCUAAAGUCGACAUGUUACGGUAGAUGGUCUCUUGCGUUUCGGCGAGGGGAAUGCAGGAAUAUGCUUGAACAUUGAAGAUUUCUUGUAGAUAUGGCUUUGGGCUCGCCUGCUUUUCUCUGGGAACAACUUACAAGAGAACAAUAACUUGGACUCGGACUCACGCGUGUUAGAGGCAAGUGAAUUUUACAGGUUGUAAAUUGAAAAACUCAUCGAUUGGUCAUUCUGCGUUGAAUAAUGUAAGUGUUUGUUUCCUUGUUUAACAAUGAAUUGGCAAUUUAACUGUUGUUCCUCACAGUCGGCUUCCUCUAAACCUCAAUUGGGAGCUACUGUUCUAAGUAUCUCACUAAAUGAUAGAAAGGUAUGAAGUUGGGCUGACAUCUGUUCUCUCAGUGAUACAUGGGUUGAUUUAGUAAUCUAGUUUUAAUUCUUCUUGUUCGGGCGAAGAUUUCUCUGGAGAAGGAUCUUUGAACCUCAGCACAGCUUCCCAAGGGAUUGGCACUUUGGAUGUGUAGUCGGGCUCUUGCUUGUUGAUGUGCUACAAGAAGAGGACAGAAUUAGUUCUGAAAGGUGUCUUUGUGGGGCCUUAGGUGUAGGCCUUGAGGCUCGCAAUCAAAACUAAGUGAGAGUUAGGUGUGUCACUACUAUCUCAGUAUAGCAAAUGUAGAACAAGCGUGUUUUUAGUCGAUUACUUGUGCCCCAAGUUACUCGGACUUCUUGUUAUCAAAGAAUUGUCGUGGAUGGAUUAAGUCCAUAUUAAGUUCUUUUUCUUGCCUUGUAAACAAGGACUUUUAGUUCAUGGUCGUCUUGUAUGUUCGAAUGAAGGGAGUUCAGAUCCCCUUAAGUCAUUUAUUUGGUUC